UACCAGCUCUCCGAGUGGUAGGGAUGAUUAUUGGGCUUAAAGCGUCCGUAGCCGGCUUAGCAAGUUUCCUGUUAAAUUCAGCGACCUAAUCGUUGAGCCGCGGGAAAUACUACUAGGCUAGGAGGCGGGAGAGGUCGACGGUACUUCUGGGGUAGGGGUGAAAUCCUAUAAUCCCGGGAGGACCACCAGUGGCGAAGGCUGUCGACUAGAACGCGCUCGACGGUGAGGGACGAAAGCUGGGGGAGCGAACCGGAUUAGAUACCCGGGUAGUCCCAGCUGUAAACGAUGCGGGCUAGGUGUUGGGUGGCCACGUGCCACUUCAGUGCCGCAGGGAAGCCAUUAAGCCCGCCGCCUGGGGAGUACGGCCGCAGGGCUGAAACUUAAAGGAAUUGGCGGGGGAGCACCACAAGGCGUGAAGCUUGCGGUUC
RNAcentral lists this ribosomal RNA (428 nucleotides) under uncultured archaeon. RNAcentral describes it as "bacterial SSU rRNA". It matches the Rfam family "Archaeal small subunit ribosomal RNA", at positions 474 to 903 of the family's 1478-position model. The record is from RNAcentral.